AGUUACAUUGCAACUGGAAGAUCAUGUUAAAACGAAAUGCCCAAGCCAAUGAUGCUAACAGCUUUGUGGCACAUUUGGUUUACCAAGGAAUCAUGAGAGAAGACAAAAUUCCCAAUUGUAGUACUCUUACUAUAAUAAAACAAAUGGGACCACAUGGAUGUUCAGGUAACACAAUCAUCAGCGCAAGACGUUCAGAGAACAAAUGGAAAUUCCCAAUAAGGUAGGGAAGCAAUUCAAAUCCUGGAGGAUACUCUGUUGGACACCAGAAAGAACUACAUCCAUUUUUAGCAGAACAUAGAAUCAAAGCAGAUUAUGUGUACCAAUCUUAUGGGCCUGAUCUGAUGAAAAGAUGAGUUUUUCGCCGAACUGCAUUUUGUCUUUCUAGGCAGAGGAACGGGAUUUAUCAGAGCCGCAAACUCUUGGUGACUUGCACCAAAAUCCAUGCACCUUGAUGAAAUGGAUUCCUGUCAUAGGUCAACUGACAUUCCGUGGUCUUCUCCUACUGGCAAUCGGAACGCAUGGACUAUUGGACUGCUAGUAGAAUCGAAAGAGUACGUUUCGCUACGACUCGAUUGGAUACAAUUUGUCAAACCUUGUGAGACAAGAGCGUCUUUUACAAUCAGAUCACAGUUUUCUAAAGGCACUAGAGGAGCGCAAAUCUUUACCUAUUUAUGCCUUCCAGAAUGCUGUUAUGGAUGCUGUUCACUGUAAUUCCGUUGUCAUAAUUCGUGGUAAUACGGGUUCUGGAAAAACCACUCAGGUUAGCUUGAUACCACAAGUUAAAUUAGGAUGAAAUUAUUUAUACUUUAAUUCAUUAAUGACCGGAAAUAAUGGAUUCUAAUUCUAAAUCUAAAUCUGUCCACCUAAGGUGUAUCGAGUCUACGGUAAUGAUCCCGAAUUAGAUGUGGUGAUUGGUCCCAUCGGAAUCGGCCAUUAUCCUAAUAUAUUCGCCAACAGAGAAAAACUAAAAGUACAAAUGGCUGAUGCUCGCUCAGGACCUUCUCUGAUUCACAAGUCUUCUGUCAACUGCCCAGAUUCAGAUGAAAUUGAAUUCCCGCUACCCUAUUUCGAUUUCAGCGAAAAAAUUGCGAUUUUCAUGCGACUGCGAUUUUCAUGCAGCCGAAUGCCCGAGCUCGCCUGCCUGUCAGAAUUCCAAACGUCCUUCAGACGAAAGAUAUAACAGCGAGUUCAAAUUUGGUCGCUACGAAACUCGUGUUGUAUCUCAUCAACCUUCCCUAUCAGUCAAAACUUUUCGUCAUGGAGAAACGAAUCGGUGAGCAAUGAAUCAAUUGGACCUUUUUCCACCGGUCAACGAGGAGUGGAUGGCAACUAGUGCGCAACUUUAGAGUACGAACGAAAACAAGAUGGCUAUUAGGAGGAUGAAAAGGCGCAAUCAGAGCACUGCAGCAUCUAUCAUCUAUCAUGCAUGUCCAGUUCCCAACGCUGAUGGAUUGAGUCUUGUAAUAGUAUAUCAAAGUACUCACUUCGGAAACAGUUUGGUUGUUUGAAUUCGUAUACGUGGAUCUCUUUAAAAUAAGACAAAAUCUAUUGUACUAUUCCAAAGCUUUGUAUGAUAUUUACGCUUUAACUUAAAUUAAAAUUGUGUGCAUGUAUGUUUGAAGAAUCCUCUUACUUAAAUACAAUGUCAAAUUACAACGUCAAA
This 1663-nucleotide unclassified non-coding RNA is filed under the name Daphnia pulicaria. RNAcentral's name for it is "aTP-dependent RNA helicase A-like, transcript variant X6". Lineage: Eukaryota; Metazoa; Arthropoda; Branchiopoda; Diplostraca; Daphniidae. The record is from RNAcentral.